RNAcentral lists this long non-coding RNA (1281 nucleotides) under Phaseolus vulgaris (common bean). Its description in RNAcentral is "long non-coding RNA (PVUL_LNC002044)". Lineage: Eukaryota; Viridiplantae; Streptophyta; Magnoliopsida; Fabales; Fabaceae. The record is from RNAcentral.
GUCACUCUUGUGUUAGCAAUACUGUCUCUAAGCUUGCCAUCUCAAAUCUCAGCUGAUACCUACUUGUACUCAUCACCUCCUCCUCCCAAGAAGCCCUAUUAUUAUCACUCUCCUCCACCACCUUCACCUCCUCCACCUAAGCCAUACUACUAUCAUUCACCACCACCACCUUCACCUCCUCCACCCAAGCCAUACUACUAUCACUCACCACCACCACCUUCACCUCCUCCACCUAAACCAUACUACUAUCACUCACCACCACCACCUUCACCUCCUCCACCUAAACCAUACUACUAUCACUCACCACCACCACCUUCACCUCCUCCACCUAAACCAUACUACUAUCACUCACCACCACCACCUUCACCUCCUCCACCUAAGUCAUAUUACUAUCACUCACCACCACCACCACCCAAAAAGAAGCCAUACUACUACCAUUCUCCCCCACCACCUUCACCACCUCCUCCUAAGCCAUACUACUAUCACUCUCCCCCACCGCCUUCACCUCCUCCACCUACGCCAUACUACUAUCAUUCUCCCCCACCACCCUCACCACCUCCACCUAAGCCAUACUACUACCAUUCACCACCACCCCCACCGAAGAAGAAGCCUUACUACUACCACUCUCCACCACCACCUUCACCUCCUCCUCCAAAGAAGCCAUACUACUACCACUCCCCACCUCCUCCCAAGAAGCCCUACAAAUAUUCAUCUCCCCCACCUCCAGUGCACCCUUACCCUCAUCCUCACCCCCAUCCCCAUCCACACCCCCACCCUCACCCUCCCUACGUUUACAAAUCUCCUCCCCCACCCCCUAAGAAGCCAUACAAGUACCCAUCCCCACCACCUCCAGUCCACGUUUACCCUCACCCUCACCCGCAUCCACACCCUCACCCUCAACCUCACCCCCAUCCACAACCCCACCCUCCCUACAUUUAUCAGUCUCCUCCACCACCCCCUAAGAAGCCUUACAAGUACCCAUCGCCUCCACCUCCCGUCCACCCAUACCCCCAUCCCCACCCUCUUCCUCAUCCCCACCCUCACCCUCUUCCACAUCCCCACCCUCUUCCCCAUCCUCACCCUCUUCCUCAUCCCCACCCUCUUCCCCAUCCUCACCCCCUCCCUCCUUACACUCCUCAUCCAAUCUAUCACUCUCCAUCACCACCACCACCUUACAAGAAGCCUUACAAGUACAAGUCCCCUCCACCACCUCCACACUACAUCUACGCAUCACCUCCACCUCCUUACCACUCUUAGACAGUGGUCAACUAGCAUAGUUCU